UAUUGUAUCAGAAGGAAAAAAAAAUGUCCGCGAAAGUUGUCUCUCUCGAUCCGCCGUGGUCAUCAUCUCACCGGCGCGGGUGACAAUUGGGGACUCUGGUUCAGCAAAUGGGUGACUCUGAUUGAGCAAGUCGAAGAGUUUUCUUCAGCAAAUCGGCGUUUCUCAUGAGAAGAACGUCCUGUUGCAAUAUUCCACUCCUCGGAGGACUCCAACGAGAAUGUAACGCCCAGAACCUUUCUGAUAAGGGACAGAGACUGCAGAAGCUAAGAGAUAAAUUAGCAACGACCAUCCAUAUUUAACUCCCCUUCUUCAUAAACUUCCCUUAACAAGGUUGCUGAUUCACUUGAUAAAGGAACAGAACAUGAAGAUGAGUAUAUGAUCAGUGAAAAAGAGCUUCUCGUGAACAGAAUCUAUUUGCGUUGGAGAAAGUCUUUUAAAAGUUUUCUUCCAGCCACGUUUCCAGCUUUCUCGAGCAACCGUGAGCUCACGCAGUUUCUGUUCCAACCGUAUCAAGAUCACAGAUGUUUCCAAAUGAUGUAUACAUAGGAGAGACAUCAUCGAGGCUGCUGAUUCUUUCAGGCAGGAAAGGUUAUACUCUGCAGCGCUAGACACAAGAUCUUCAGUUCAGUGGCUUGUCGCCAAAGUGCAAGAUAGAAUUAUUUCAACCAUUUUGAGAAAAUAUAUUGUGAAGAGUUCAAAAACAGUUAGGCAUACGUUCGAAUACUACGAUAAAGAUGAAACAGUUGUGGCUCAUAUAGCUAGAGGUAUUGAUGCAUUUAUAAAGGUCUCUCAUGGUUGGCCAUUAAAUCUUGCAUCUCUCAAGAAUUCUGACAAUCAGUCAAAAGGGAAUUUCUCUGAGCCUUGUCUGCAAACUUGAGUAUGUUUUGCAGAUUAUUGAAAAGAGAGGGUUUGGACUUUGGACGACAGAAAUACUUGGUUUGGAGAUAAAAGCAACAAAAAGACAAGCAGCGGAAAGAAACUUCUGGUUACAAUAGAAUUGAAGUUAUUCAGGGACAGAGGACAAUAGCCUCUAGCUUAUGUCCUUAAGUUUCCUUUAUAUGACAACAUAAUCUUAUUAUAUUCAUAAAACCACAAUACUGUAACAUAGUGAUUUUACUCCUUUUGGAUAAAGACAUAUAAUAAUUAUGGAAAAAAUUAC
Molecule: RNA transcript, 1159 nt
Organism: Camelina sativa (false flax)
Lineage: Eukaryota; Viridiplantae; Streptophyta; Magnoliopsida; Brassicales; Brassicaceae
Source: RefSeq, a predicted model, not a curated record